GGCGUAGACGGUUUCUUAAGUCGGAUGUGAAAUCUCCUGACUCAAUUAGGAGAGGUCAUUCGAUACUAGGAGACUUGAGGGUAGCAGAAGAAAGCGGAACUCCAGGUGUAGCGGUGAUAUGCGUAGAUAUCUGGAGGAACACCAGUGGCGAAGGCGGCUUUCUAGGCUAUUCCUGACGUUGAGGCCCAAAAGCGUGGGAGCGAAAC
RNAcentral lists this ribosomal RNA (206 nucleotides) under uncultured bacterium. RNAcentral describes it as "partial 16S ribosomal RNA". It matches the Rfam family "Bacterial small subunit ribosomal RNA", at positions 568 to 773 of the family's 1533-position model. The record is from RNAcentral.